CCUUCGAUAGCUCAGUUGGAAGAGCGUGGGACUGUAAUGGAAACUGUGCAUCCCGAGGUCACUGGUUCGAUCCCGGUUCGAAGGA
Russula brevipes is the source of this 85-nucleotide non-coding RNA. NCBI's taxonomy places the organism in Eukaryota, Fungi, Basidiomycota, Agaricomycetes, Russulales, Russulaceae. The record is from the annotation of a GenBank genome assembly.